This 211-nucleotide ribosomal RNA is filed under the name uncultured bacterium. Its description in RNAcentral is "partial 16S ribosomal RNA". It matches the Rfam family "Bacterial small subunit ribosomal RNA", at positions 1282 to 1500 of the family's 1533-position model. The record is from RNAcentral.
CCGUUCUCAGUUCGGAUCGGAGUCUGCAACCCGACUCCGUGAAGCUGGAUUCGCUAGUAAUCGCGUAUCAGCCACGGCGCGGUGAAUACGUUCCCGGGCCUUGUACACACCGCCCGUCAAGCCAUGGAAGCCGGGAGUGCCUGAAGUGCGUGAGCGCAAGCAGCGCCCUAAGGUAAAACCGGUGACUGGGGCUAAGUCGUAACAAGGUAAC